AUUAAACGCUGGCGGCAUGCCUUACACAUGCAAGUCGAACGGUAGCGCGGGGCAACCUGGCGACGAGUGGCGAACGGGUGAGUAAAGCAUCGGAACGUGCCCUGGAAUGGGGGAUAACGUAGCGAAAGUUACGCUAAUACCGCAUAUUCUGUGAGCAGGAAAGCAGGGGAUCGCAAGACCUUGCGUUCUGGGAGCGGCCGAUGUCGGAUUAGCUAGUUGGUGGGGUAAAAGCCUACCAAGGCGACGAUCCGUAGCGGGUCUGAGAGGAUGAUCCGCCACACUGGGACUGAGACACGGCCCAGACUCCUACGGGAGGCAGCAGUGGGGGAAUUUUUGGGACAAUGGGCGGAAGCCUGAUCCAGCCAUGCCGCGUGAGUGAAGAAGGCCUUCGGGUUGUUAAGGCGUCUUUCGGUUGGGGGGUAAGGAAAAGUUUAGGCACGGGUUAAGUAACCCUCGUGUAGAUGACGGUACCCGGACUAAGAAGCACCGGCUAACUACGUGCCAGCAGCCGCGGUAAU
This 518-nucleotide ribosomal RNA is filed under the name uncultured bacterium. RNAcentral's name for it is "bacterial SSU rRNA". It matches the Rfam family "Bacterial small subunit ribosomal RNA", at positions 29 to 524 of the family's 1533-position model. The record is from RNAcentral.